Molecule: long non-coding RNA, 792 nt
Organism: Bos taurus (domestic cattle)
Lineage: Eukaryota; Metazoa; Chordata; Mammalia; Artiodactyla; Bovidae
Source: Ensembl
GUCCAGACCCAACACACCCAAGGACCUCAAACAUUAGUGUUCAUAAAAUCCUCUAGGGAAUCCUGAUGCCGUUUCACAUGUGAACAAAGAAGGUCGGGGGCCACGUCAACAAACAAAGGAUGCUGAGGCCGUCAAGCCAUCAAGCCAGCAGCCACCGCAGCCUGCCCUGACUGUGUACCCUGAGAGGAUUCAGAUUGGAGAAAAGCAGGAUACUGGCUCCAGAGAUCAGUCUCCAGGAAGUGAGAUUCCAAGAAGCUCAGAGGCAAGCCUGUUCCAGGACCAUACUUUCUGCCUCUGCACUGACAGAUGAUUCCCUGAAACAGCCACAAGAGUACAAGCUUGGUGGAGUGGAGUAGGGCAGAGCCUUGGCAAAUGUCUCAUAUACUCCAGGCGCUGUGCCAAAGGCUUCAUCUCAUCCAACCUUCCAGAGGCCCUGUGAGGUAGGGACUACAUCCCAUUUGCGUCGGCCCACUUGUGCCCAUUUAGAUGAGGAAACUGAGGGUUACAGAUAUUGCAGUGUGCUCAGGUUUGCCAACUAGAAAACUGCAAUAAAAAUUCUGACAUGACUUUCUCUGUCAAUUUUCUGUUCUUUGCUAUUCUGGUGGAAAUUUAAGAUGCUGAACUCUCAACUUUGUUUCAUGAAAAACUAAACGUGCAAGACUGCUGGAUUGUUACAAUGUCAAUUUCCUGCUCAGAUGCUACACAGUAGAUUUGCAAGAUGCUGCCAUUAGGAAAAACUGGGUGAAGGGUAUGUGGACUCUUUCUGUAUCGUUUCUUACAACAACAUACUAA